CCAAUUUUAGCGAACCUGAUCUUUUGGGUUAUGGUCUCGCGAAAAAACUGUAUUUAAAACCCCACUCUUUUAUACAAAAUGAAUCUAUUAUAUAAAUAAUAGAUAAAGA
This 109-nucleotide unclassified non-coding RNA is filed under the name uncultured Glomeromycotina. RNAcentral describes it as "sequence contains ITS1". The record is from RNAcentral. Lineage: Eukaryota; Fungi; Glomeromycota.